This 5114-nucleotide long non-coding RNA is filed under the name Sus scrofa (pig). RNAcentral describes it as "lncRNA (ENSSSCG00060013038.1)". The record is from RNAcentral. Lineage: Eukaryota; Metazoa; Chordata; Mammalia; Artiodactyla; Suidae.
GUAUCUAUUUUAAUAAAUGGAAAUUGCUGUGGAGAAACAAACCAUUGUACACCACUUUAAUCCUUUUCAGGGAAGCCUGAAUCCUAUUUGUGUAGCUGAGAUGUAUUACUGUCAUUUUCCCUUCAUGGAGUGGAAUAAACACACUUAAAUGAGACCUUUGUUGGUGCAGCCUCUUGUACUCUUGCCCUAAUAAGUUGUCGUGAUUUUAGGCUUUGAAAUUCACAUUGGGUAGCACUAGCAAAUUCAUCUGCAGUCCCUAGAAUUGAAAUGAUUGGGUAAACUCGGCAGUUAAGUCAACAUGUGUAUUGUAUGUGCCAAGCACUAUACCUGGGGUCCAGCCAUGAAUAAGAAUUCCAUUAAUAGAAGAAGCUUAGAGUCAUUGCCCACUGUUGGAGUGAGAGUUUACAGAUAAAUUCUCAAGGGCAAGGACAGGGGUUAGAAUGAUCCACGUGGUAAUGAAUUAAAGUUAGAGACAUCAGAAAGCACUGCUGGAUGGCUUUUAGAGGUACAUGUGAUUACACAGGGGAAUACUGAUAGGUGUGUAUUAUAUAUAUAGGCUUGCAUACAUACACAGAGUUCUUUCUGUGUCGGCUGAGACAACCUAAAAAAUGACACUCCAGUAGCCAUAGGCCCAACUCUCACCCAGACACUGAUGUCUAAAACCCAUUCUCCUAUAAUAGGAUCCAGGGAUUUCUGGAGAAAUACCUGAUUCUGGGCCUGGAGAAGGUAAUACAUGAGAUGAGGUCAGUCCCUUACAGUGCCAAAAUGUAAGGAAGUCAUCAAAAAAAGAAAUAGAUGAAAGUGUGUCAGAGGAACAUGGGAGCCCAUAGAAAGAGUUUCCAAUGGCUCAAGUGAAAUAAUUUGAGAAAAAACAAACAAAAAACAGUAGUAUUGGAUUAUAUUCCAAAGGAUAAAGUAAAUAUCCAGGAAUCUAUACUGACAUAAAUAAAAAAUUAAAUACAUUAAUAAAUGGGAGAGAAGAGGAAACCUCCCAUGCAGAAUGCCACAUCAAUUAUGCAGAUGACCCAGGCUCGAGGAGCAUAGCACAUGGGCAUAUUUCCCCACUCCUUGUGUGUGCGCUACACAUAAAGACUUCUUCUAAAGAGGAAAGCUUAGGGAAAGCGGGGAGGGGCAGGAAGAGUAACUUUACAGAGGAGAAACCCCGCAGACAUUACUUGAGCUGGUGAUCAAAACUCCCAUGAACCAUCAUAAUUCAUGUUGAUUGUAGGCACUCUUUACGGAAUACCAGGAAAGGGACAGUCUGUCAAAACUGAAUUAAACUAUGGAUUUUAGCUAAUAAUAACAUAUCGAUACUGGCUUAUUAAUUAUAACAAAUGUGCUACACUAACAUAAGAUGUUCAUAAUAGGAAAAAUUCCUCAAGAGGUAUCAGGGAAUUCUCUAGUCGAUUUGUUUAAAUUUUUCUGUAAAUCUAAAACUGUUUAAAGAGUAAGAAGCUUACCGCCUAGUGAGGGAAGCCAAUAAGCAAGUAGGCAGUUGUAAUACAAGUACAACAAAAGAGGAUGUACAGACGGGGAGAGACAAUGGGGCAUCUGACUGGUCCUGCGCAUCCUGACUUGACCACUUGGGGCAGUUGACUUGACCCUCUGAUCUGAUUUCUCGUCUCUUAAGUGGUGAUAAAACCUGCCGUGAGUCAAUAUAGACCGUGAGGUCAAACCCCCAGCUACAGAGCUGGGUGAUUUGCUAAACUCUGGGUUUUAGCUUCUCAUCAGUAAAUGGGAUAAUAAUAGUACUACCCAGAGAGUGGUCCUAAGGUCUGGGAUCACCUAUGUGAAGUGCUUAGGACAAGUCCUGGCACCCUGUGCUUGGUAAAUGCAAGCGUCCAUUGCGGCUGUUGGCUCCCAGGUUUCUGGGGAGACCUGCUGGGAUAUCAUGGAGCACAUGCCUUCCAUGUCAUAAACCCUCAGUCACCAGUGACGGGGGCAGCAGCAAGGAAAAGUUCCUGGGGGCCAGGAAGAUGCCCUUCCCUGAAUCCUACACACCAGACACAGGGGUCCUCUCUAAACCCAAACUGACAACAGGAUAGGAGUUGAUCAGAUCAAAGAAGGGUGAAGGGGGUAGGCUCUAGCAGAAGGAAGAAAGGUCCACAAGUUUUCUUCAGCUUGGCACCUUUAUGGAAACGGCGAGAGUUGAGAAUGGCUGGCGCGUGCGGUUUAAGGAGUAGGGAGGGGGGUUAAGCAGGGCCAGAAUUAUGUCGGGAAUUGAAUACUGGGAUUGAGGAUUUGGACUUCAUCCUGGGGUCGAUUUAAAAUAUGUACUCUUAGAGUCACUCUAAAUAUGGAACAGAGACCAAGGACCAGUUCGUUUGCACAGAUAAAAGAUGUUGUGGUGACUCUGGAAAUCAAGUCAAAGAAUUUGAAGUCUCACAAUAUGGCAGAUGCCAACUGUACAGUUUUAUGAAGAUCUUUUUCUGCCUCAGAAUCAAAUUUAUCAUAGUGUAUGAUGCCUGGGUAUUUUCCUAAUAAUCUGCAUAUAAUUUUUAAAAUGUAGGGUAAUAUUAAGAAUUUUAGGCAGAGAUUUUGAAAUACGUACAUAUUUCCCACCAGUAUUAUACACCAUUAUCGAUAAUUUUUAAAACCAUUAGCCAAUCAGAUUAACUCUGAAAUGCUCUACACCAGCAUCAUCCAGUAGAAAUAUAAUACCAGCCACAUAUAUAAUUUUAAUCUUCUGAUAGCCACAUUUAAAAAAUAAACAGAUGACAUUAAUUUGAGUAACAUAUUUUGUUUACCAAUAUAUUGAUAAAUUAUUAUUUCAACAUGUAAUCAAGAUAAAUUAUGAAUUAUUUAUCGUAUAUUCUUUUUCUUACCUUGUCUUCAAAGCCUGGUUGUGUAUUUUAUAAUACAGUCAGACCAGCCUCAUUUCAAGUACUCAGCAGCCCUCUGUGGGUUGUGGCUAACUUUAUUAGAUAGCUCAGAUCUACAACUUUCAAACACCUAUGUCAGAAGAUCUUUUUGGCUUUACACUUGCUGGUGAAAUCUUUUCCAAACACGUUAAUAGACAUUUCUGCCUUAAUACACGCAUGUGGGAAACAGACCACAGUGCACAUACUCAAACUGCCUGUUUCUCUCACUCAAUAAAUAGUUGCCGAAUGUCCUCUGUGGGGUAGCGAAACAGCUACUAUAUGCACACUGGCUCUGGUUUACACACUGGAGUGUGAAUUGUGAGCUGACUCCACACAAUCCUGCUCCUUCAUGGAGUGUACAAGGUUGUAAAGGAGAAAGGCAGAUGCAAAACAAAACCUGGUAAAGGAGGCAACCAUAAAUGAUAGUGUGAUGACGUUGCUCUGGUUUCUUUUGCCUUAGAAGACAGAUCCAUAAAAUAGUGCUACAGUUUACAUCAAAGAAUGUUCCGCCUAUGUUCUCUUCUAGGAGUCUUAUGAUUUCAGGUCUUACAUUUGUAUCUUUUUAUUUUAAGUUUAGUUUUUUAUACAGUGUGACGAAAUGUUCUGAUUUCAUUAAAAAAUAAAUUAAUUCAAAGAAAUAGCUGUCCAGUCUUGCCAGCACAAGUUAUUGAAGAAACUGUCUUUUUUCCAUUGUGUAUUCUUCUCUCUUUCAUUAUAGCUUAAUUGACCAUAGGUAUGCAGGUUAAUUUCUGGGCUCUUUAUCCUGUUCCAUUGAUCUAUGUGUCUGUUUUCGUACCAGCACCAUGCUGUUUUGAUACCUGUAGCUUUGUAAUAUAGUCUUAAGUCAGGGACCAUGAUUCCUCCAAGCUUUGGUUUUUGGUUUUUGUUUUUUUUCUCAGUAAUGCUCUGGCAAUUCAGGGUCUUUUGUGGUUCUACAUGAAUGGAUUAUGUGCUCUAGCUUUGUGGAAAAUGUCAUGGGUAUUUUGAUAAGGAUUGCAUUAAAUUUGUAGAUGCUUAAGAUAGCUUUUGCAUAAUAAAGGAAACCACCAACAAAAUGAAUAGGUAACUCACUGAAUGGAAGAAAAUAUUUGCAAAUGAUAUGACCCAUAAGAGGUUACUACCCAUAAUAUAUAAACAGUUUAUAUAAUUCACUCUCAGAAAACAACCCAAUUUAAAAAAGGGCAGAAGACCUGAAUAGACAUUUUUUUCUAAAGACAUGCAAAUGUCCAACAGUUAAAUAAAAAAGAUGCUCAACAUCACCAAUCUUGAAACAAAUGCAAAUCAAACUAUAAUACAGUAUAACCUCCCACCUGUCAGAAUGACUAUCAUCAAAAAGUCCACAAAAAACAAGAGGCAUCAGGGAUGCAGAGAAAAGGGAACCCUUGUACACUCUUGGUGGGAAUAUAAAUUGGGGUAGCCACUGCAGAAAACAGUAUGGCAGUUCCCCACAAAAGUAAAAUUAGAACUACCAUAUGGCCCAGCAAUCCUUCUCUUGGGUAUUUAUCUGAAAAACAAAAUAAAACAAAACCAAACCACUAAUUCAAAAAGAUAUAUGCACUCCAAUAAGCAACCUAAGUGUUUAUCAAUGAAUAAAGAAGAUGUGUAUGUAUAUACACAUACAUAUGCAUGUAUGUAUAUAUAUGUAUAUGUAUGUGUGUAUAUAUACAAAAUAAACAUUGUAAUAUUACUCAGCCAUAAAAAGAAUGAAAUUUUGUCAUUUGCAACAAUGUUCAUGGACCUAGAGAGUAUUAUGCUUAGUGAAAUAAGGCAAAGAAAGACAAAUACUCUGUUAUCACUUAUAUGUGGAAUCUAAAAAUUUAAGCAAAUGUAUUUACCAAACCAGAAACAGACUCACAGAUAAGGAGAAUGGAGGAGUGGUUACCAGUGGGAAGAGGAAAUGGGGGAGGAAAAUAGUGGCCUGGGAUUAAGAGGUACAAAUACUGUUUAAAAUAAAUAAGCAACAAGAAUAUACUGUAUACCACAGAGAAAUACAGCAUUAUUUUGUAAUAAUUUUAAAUGGAGUGUAAUGCAUAAAAUAUUGAAUCACUCUGUGUUACACCUGAAACUAAUGUAAUACUGCCAAGCAACUAUCCUUCAGUAUAAAUAAAUAAAUGCAUGCAUACAUACAUAUAGUAGAAGAAAAAAGAAAACAAAUGGGAGACUGAGAUGCUAGAUAUCCAUGGUGGAAUGGCUCUCAGUAAUCUCAGUUGAGUUGGUAUAAGCUGGAAAAUAAAGGAUGAACAUGGGUCAGCC